Non-coding RNA from Podarcis lilfordi (Lilford's wall lizard), 76 nucleotides. The record is from the annotation of a GenBank genome assembly. NCBI's taxonomy places the organism in Eukaryota, Metazoa, Chordata, Lepidosauria, Squamata, Lacertidae.
AGGGAUGGGCCAUGGCUCAGUGGUAGAUCAUUUGCUUUUCAUGCAGAGGCCCCAGAUUCAAUGCCUGGCACCUCCA